UCUACUAUAAGGCUGGCUACUCUACUGUAAUACACCAUACAGUAAGACUGGCUACUCUACUGUAAUACACCAUACAGUAAGACUGGCUACUCUACUGUAAUACACCAUACAGUAAGACUUGCUACUCUACUGUAAUACACCAUACAGUAAGACUUGCUACUCUACUGUAAUACACCAUACAGUAAGGCUGACUACUCUACUGUAAUACACCAUACAGUAAGACUUGCUACUCUACUGUAAUACACCAUACAGUAAGGCUGGCUACUCUACUGUAAUACACCAUACAGUAAGACUUGCUACUCUACUAUAAUACACCAUACAGUAAGACUGGCUACUCUACUGUAAUACACCAUACAGUAAGACUGGCUACUCUACUGUAAACACACAGUCCAGUUCAUAGUGAAUGAUGGCAGGCCCUACUGCCUGUAAACACACAGUCCAGUUCAUAGUGAAUGAUGACAGGUCCUACUGCCUGUAAACACAGUCCAGUUCAUAGUGAAUGAUGGCAGGUCCUACUGCCUGUAAACACAGUCCAGUUCAUAGUGAAUGAUGGCAGGUCCUACUGCCUGUAAACACACAGUCCAGUUCAUAGUGAAUGAUGGCAGGUCCUACUGCCUGUAAACACACAGUCCAGUUCAUAGUGAAUGAUGGCAGGUCCUACUGCCUGUAAACACACAGUCCAGUUCAUAGUGAAUGAUGGCAGGUCCUACUGCCUGUAAACACACAGUCCAGUUCAUAGUGAAUGAUGGCAGGUCCUACUGCCUGUAAACACACAGUCCAGUUCAUAGUGAAUGAUAACAGGUCCUACUGCCUGUAAACACACAGUCCAGUUCAUAGUGAAUGAUGGCAGGUCCUACUGCCUGUAAACACACAGUCCAGUUCAUAGUGAAUGAUGGCAGGUCCUACUGCCUGUAAACACACAGUCCAGUUCAUAGUGAAUGAUGACAGGUCCUACUGCCUGUAAACACAGUCCAGUUCAUAGUGAAUUAUGACAGGCCCUACUGCCUGUAAACACACAGUCCAGUUCAUAGUGAAUGAUGGCAGGUCCUACUGCCUGUAAACACACAGUCCAGUUCAUAGUGAAUGAUGACAGGCUUGUGUGGCAUAUGGCUAAUUUGCAUAUAGACCUACUGUAGCUCUGAUUGGCUAUGAACCACCGGUCUGCAGUAGACUCCGGUCCUGGACGAGACAGAUAUUUUUAUUAAGGUUUAUUUACUGCAGUGUCUUAAUUGUCCAAACGCACGACCACUUUCUCACUCUACAUUCACAAAACCUUACUCUACGUCAUUCCCAAACACUCUAUGAAUUUAUGAAAAGGUUAAAAUGACCAUAUCUAAGUGCUCGCUUGACAGAAAAUAUUAAAAACAGGUGUCGUAGUCUUCCUGGGGUUGUACACGAACACAUUUUAAUAAGAUUUCAUGUAGGAGAGAAG
RNAcentral lists this long non-coding RNA (1432 nucleotides) under Salmo salar (Atlantic salmon). Its description in RNAcentral is "lncRNA (ENSSSAG00000097419.1)". The record is from RNAcentral. Lineage: Eukaryota; Metazoa; Chordata; Actinopteri; Salmoniformes; Salmonidae.